GAUGAACGCUGGCGGCGUGCCUAAUACAUGCAAGUCGAGCGAACGGACGAGAAGCUUGCUUCUCUGAUGUUAGCGGCGGACGGGUGAGUAACACGUGGAUAACCUACCUAUAAGACUGGGAUAACUUCGGGAAACCGGAGCUAAUACCGGAUGAUAUUUUGAACCGCAUGGUUCAAAAGUGAAAGACGGUCUUGCUGUCACUUAUAGAUGGAUCCGCGCUGCAUUAGCUAGUUGGUAAGGUAACGGCUUACCAAGGCAACGAUGCAUAGCCGACCUGAGAGGGUGAUCGGCCACACUGGAACUGAGACGCGGUCCAGACUCCUACGGGAGGCAGAAGUAGGGAAUCUUCCGAAAUGGGCGAAAGACUGACGGAGCAACGCCGCGUGAGUGAUGAAGGUCUUCGGAUCGUAAAACUCUGUUAUUAGGGAAGAACAUAUGUGUAAGUAACUGUGCACAUCUUGACGGUACCUAAUCAGAAAGCCACGGCUAACUACGUG
RNAcentral lists this ribosomal RNA (497 nucleotides) under uncultured bacterium. Its description in RNAcentral is "partial 16S ribosomal RNA". It matches the Rfam family "Bacterial small subunit ribosomal RNA", at positions 28 to 507 of the family's 1533-position model. The record is from RNAcentral.